RNAcentral lists this ribosomal RNA (529 nucleotides) under uncultured archaeon. Its description in RNAcentral is "bacterial SSU rRNA". It matches the Rfam family "Archaeal small subunit ribosomal RNA", at positions 325 to 856 of the family's 1478-position model. The record is from RNAcentral.
ACGGGGCGCAGCAGUCGCGAAACCUUUGCAAUACACGAAAGUGUGACAGGGUCAUCCCGAGUGCCGACCGCUGAGGUUGGCUUUUACCCAGUCUAGAAAGCCGGGGGAAUAAGGAGAGGGCAAGUCUGGUGUCAGCCGCCGCGGUAAUACCAGCUCUCCGAGUGGUGUGGACGUUUAUUGGGCCUAAAGCAUCCGUAGCUGGCUGAACAAGUCCCCUGUUAAACCCACCGAUUUAAUCGUUGGUCUGCGGGGGAUACUGCUCGGCUAGGGGACGAGAGAGGCAGACGGUAUUCCCGGGGUAGGGGUGAAAUCCUAUAAUCCCGAGAAGACCACCAGUGGCGAAGGCUGUCUGCUAGAACGCGCCCGACGGUGAGGGAUGAAAGCUGGGGGAGCGAACCGGAUUAGAUACCCGGGUAGUCCCAGCUGUAAACGAUGCAGACUAGGUGUUUGGACGGCCACGUGCCGUUCUAGUGCCGCAGGGAAGCUGUUAAGUCUGCCGCCUGGGGAGUACGAUCGCAAGAUUGAAACU